This 253-nucleotide ribosomal RNA is filed under the name uncultured bacterium. RNAcentral's name for it is "partial 16S ribosomal RNA". It matches the Rfam family "Bacterial small subunit ribosomal RNA", at positions 524 to 776 of the family's 1533-position model. The record is from RNAcentral.
UACGUAGGGGCCGAGCGUUGUCCGGAGUUACUGGGCGUAAAGCGCGCGCAGGCGGCUGAUCAAGCCUGACGUGAAAGCCCCCGGCUCAACCGGGGAGGGUCGUCGGGGACUGAUCGGCUUGAGGGCGGUAGGGGCUGGUGGAAUUCCCGGUGUAGUGGUGAAAUGCGUAGAGAUCGGGAGGAACACCCGUGGCGAAGGCGGCCAGCUGGGCCGACCCUGACGCUGAGGCGCGAAGGCGUGGGGAGCGAACGGG